CGUGUAGGCGGUCCGGUAAGUCGGUUGUGAAAGUCGGGGGCUCAACCCUCGGAGCCGACCGAUACUGUCGGGCUAGAGUCCGGAAGAGGCGAGUGGAAUUCCUGGUGUAGCGGUGAAAUGCGCAGAUAUCAGGAGGAACACCAAUGGCGAAGGCAGCUCGCUGGGACGGUACUGACGCUGAGACGCGAAAGCGUGGGGAGCAAACA
RNAcentral lists this ribosomal RNA (206 nucleotides) under uncultured bacterium. Its description in RNAcentral is "partial 16S ribosomal RNA". It matches the Rfam family "Bacterial small subunit ribosomal RNA", at positions 568 to 774 of the family's 1533-position model. The record is from RNAcentral.